RNAcentral lists this microRNA precursor (84 nucleotides) under Bombyx mori (domestic silkworm). RNAcentral describes it as "mir-2807 microRNA precursor family". It matches the Rfam family "mir-2807 microRNA precursor family". The record is from Rfam by way of RNAcentral. Lineage: Eukaryota; Metazoa; Arthropoda; Insecta; Lepidoptera; Bombycidae.
UUAACUCAGAUUUGUAUGCAGUUGGAACCUUUGCUUACGUUUGCCGCCAGGGGCGCUGUUCUAGGUGCAUACAAAUUUCAGGUA